AUGCCAUGGUGAGGGCAUUUUCUUAGCAGCUCUUUAUACAUUUCCCAUGCAUCAGGAACUGCUUCAUCAUCCAGUUGUCUAAAAGUAUAGAUUUCAUUCCAGGACUU
Cynara cardunculus var. scolymus (artichoke) is the source of this 107-nucleotide small nucleolar RNA. The record is from RefSeq and is a predicted model, not a curated record. Lineage: Eukaryota; Viridiplantae; Streptophyta; Magnoliopsida; Asterales; Asteraceae.